Molecule: ribosomal RNA, 221 nt
Filed under: uncultured bacterium
Lineage: Bacteria
Description: partial 16S ribosomal RNA
Rfam family: Bacterial small subunit ribosomal RNA
Source: RNAcentral
CCGGUCUCAGUUCGGAUCGCAGUCUGCAACUCGACUGCGUGAAGGUGGAGUCGCUAGUAAUCGCGGAUCAGCAACGCCGCGGUGAAUGCGUUCCCGGGCCUUGUACACACCGCCCGUCAAGUCAUGAAAGUGGGCAGCACCCGAAGACGGUGGCCUAACCCCUGUGGGGGGAGCCGUCUAAGGUGAGGCUCGUGAUUGGGACUAAGUCGUAACAAGGUAGC